Lolium perenne is the source of this 1580-nucleotide RNA transcript. It is a transcript of the gene named F-box/kelch-repeat protein At3g23880, with no coding region annotated. The record is from RefSeq and is a predicted model, not a curated record. Lineage: Eukaryota; Viridiplantae; Streptophyta; Magnoliopsida; Poales; Poaceae.
GCAUCCUCUCCUCUCCUCUCGCGUGGGUGACAGUGCAGAGUCCACCACCACAAUCCCCCCCACGAGCCGCGAGGAGGAGGGCGAGAUGAGGACGGCAAGCCUCGGCCGCCGCCGCCCCCAUUCGCCGGCGGCAGGGCCGCUGGACGACGACGACCUCCUCUGCGAAAUCCUCAUCCGCCUUCCCCCGCAGCCGUCGUCCCUCCCCCGCGCCUCAGCCGUCUGCAAGCGCUGGCGACGCCUCGUCUCCGACCCUACCUUCUUCCGCCGCUUCCGCCUCCACCACCGCCGCAACCCGCCACUCCUCGGCUUCUUCCAAGGAACAGGGAUAGGAUCUCAAGGUAUGACCUUCGUACCUACCCUGGAGGCGCCCAACCGUGUCCAUCCCGGGCGCUUCUCCCCGCCGUCCGGCCUCGGCGACUGUUUCCAGUGCCUCGGGUGCCGCCACGGCCUCGUGCUCUUCUUCCUCCAGAACAGCCUCCGGGUGCUGGUGUGGGACCCCGUCACCGGCGACCAGCACCGCCUCGCUAUCCCCCCUGGAGUUGCGACGUAUGCAAAGAAUGCCCUGAUCAACGGGGCGGUGCUUCGCGCUGCCGGAGACGUCCAACACUUCCAGGUGGUCUUGACAGUGGCGUAUGGCGACGAGCAACACAGACGAGCGCUCGCCUGCCUUUACUCGUCGCAGACCGGCUUAUGGGGAGAUCUCGUAUCGAUUCCGCUGCCAUGCGAGGCUAGUAAUUGGGAAUUAUCCGUUAAUACGGACGAUGCUGUGCUGGAUGGAGAUUACCUUUACUGGGUGCUUGAAGAGUUUUCGUUUUCGUAUAGAAUUCUCGAAUUUGAUUUGUUGAAACAGAGCUUAGCCGUGAUAGAGGUGCCAUCAGAUAUGUGUAGUGAGGACAUCCGGUUCGGGAUUAUGCGGGCCGAGGGCGGUGGGCUGGGUGUCCUCUUAGUGUCAGACUCAGACUGCACCGCCCAGCUAUGGAAGAGGAAGACUGAUUGGGGUGGUGUUGCUUCAUGGAGCCUCGCAAGAACUAUUGAACUCGGCAAGCUACUUUCCCUGAAAUCAGACGAGAAAGGGCCCCUAUACAUACCAGGGUUUGCGGAGGAGAAUAAUACGGUGUUCAUGUGGACAUCGGCUGGUCUCUUUAUGAUCCAUCUUGAGUCACUGAAGUGCAAUAAGAUUUUUGAAGGACAACCCGGAACCUUUUAUCAACCAUUCGAAGGUGUCUACGCUGCAGAAAUAUGCGCUGGUAGUGGACACGACGGAGCUGAGCUAUUGCGCAAAACCUAAGAUGACUGUACGGUUGGAUAUGCUAUUUGAUCUACUGGUUAAGCAGAUAUGCUUAUCUUCUGCAUGUAUAAUUAGGUAUCUAGCUAGAGUUAAGUUCCGGUGGCUGCGAUGCAGAAUUGGGCGGUUGGAUGUUAGGUUCUUGCAUUUUUCAUGUUUGAUACGGAGAUUGCAUCGGUCAGCUGUGUAGUGAAAUGAACCGCUUAAUUUCCAAACUCCCAUCUGUUAUCUAGUUCUUGUGGACAUUCGUCAAUUGGCCUUAAGGCUGAAUGCACAGCCACAUGUUGGAGUUAAU